Molecule: ribosomal RNA, 253 nt
Filed under: uncultured bacterium
Lineage: Bacteria
Description: partial 16S ribosomal RNA
Rfam family: Bacterial small subunit ribosomal RNA
Source: RNAcentral
UACGGGGGGUGCGAGCGUUGUCCGGAAUCACUGGGCGUAAAGGGCGCGUAGGUGGUUUGAUAAGGGUGUGGUGAAAGUCCGGGGCUCAACCCCGGAUCUGCCGUGCCGACUGUCAAACUCGAGGACUGUAGAGGCAGACGGAAUUCCGGGUGUAGCGGUGGAAUGCGUAGAGAUCCGGAGGAAGACCGGUGGCGAAGGCGGUCUGCUGGGCAGUUUCUGACACUGAGGCGCGUCAGCGUGGGGAGCAAACAGG